AGAACGAACGCUGGCGGCAUGCCUAACACAUGCAAGUCGAACGAGACCUUCGGGUCUAGUGGCGCACGGGUGCGUAACGCGUGGGAAUCUGCCCUUGGGUUCGGGAUAACAGUUGGAAACGACUGCUAAUACCGGAUGAUGACUUCGGUCCAAAGAUUUAUUGCCCAGGGAUGAGCCCGCGUAGGAUUAGCUAGUUGGUGAGGUAAAGGCUCACCAAGGCGACGAUCCUUAGCUGGUCUGAGAGGAUGAUCAGCCACACGUGGGACUGAGACACGGCCCAGACUCCGUACGGGAGGCAGCAGGUGGGGAAUAGUGGACAAGUGGGACGAAAGCCUGAUCCGAG
RNAcentral lists this ribosomal RNA (343 nucleotides) under uncultured soil bacterium. RNAcentral describes it as "bacterial SSU rRNA". It matches the Rfam family "Bacterial small subunit ribosomal RNA", at positions 26 to 391 of the family's 1533-position model. The record is from RNAcentral.